UACGUAGGUGGCAAGCGUUGUCCGGAAUUAUUGGGCGUAAAGCGCGCGCAGGUGGUUCCUUAAGUCUGAUGUGAAAGCCCCCGGCUCAACCGGGGAGGGUCAUUGGAAACUGGGGAACUUGAGUGCAGAAGAGGAUAGUGGAAUUCCAAGUGUAGCGGUGAAAUGCGUAGAGAUUUGGAGGAACACCAGUGGCGAAGGCGACUAUCUGGUCUGUAACUGACACUGAGGCGCGAAAGCGUGGGGAGCAAACAGG
RNAcentral lists this ribosomal RNA (253 nucleotides) under uncultured bacterium. RNAcentral describes it as "partial 16S ribosomal RNA". It matches the Rfam family "Bacterial small subunit ribosomal RNA", at positions 524 to 776 of the family's 1533-position model. The record is from RNAcentral.